CCCGCUGAAUUUAAGCAUAUCAUUAAGCGGAGGAAAAGAAACUAACAAGGAUUCCCCUAGUAACGGCGAGUGAAGCGGAAGAGCUCAAGCUUAAAAUCUCCAUGUUUUACAUGGCGAAUUGUAGUCUAUUGAGGCUGUUGUCAGCAUAGCGAUUUGGGACAAGUCCCUUGGAAAAGGGCAGCAUAGAGGGUGAUACUCCCGUCUUUGCUCAGAUUGUCUAUGUGUACGAUACGCUUUCUUUGAGUCGAGUUGUUUGGGAAUACAGCUCAAAGUAGGUGGUAAAUUCCAUCUAAAGCUAAAUAUUGGUGCGAGACCGAUAGCGAACAAGUACCGUGAGGGAAAGAUGAAAAGAACUUUGAAAAGAGAGUUAAAGAGUACCUGAAACUGUUGAAAGGGAACCGUAACAUGUCCAGUGUUGUAUCUUAUGCAUAUUUCAUUAGUGGAGUAAUUUACUGGUGCCCUGUGCAUGAGUGUGACGUCAAAGUCAGUUUGUAUGCUGCGGGAGAUGGUUAGCAAGGAGGUGCGUCGCUUUUGUGUCAGUUAUACCUUGUUAUCUAGUAGCCGUGGUUGAGACUGAGGUGCCUACAACAUGCUUAUAGAGUAUAUUGUUGUCUCGUUAUUAUACCUGUUUGGAUAGCUUGCUAUGCUGAUGGUCUAUAGUGGCGAUUGAUGAUGGUAUUAACUUUUUGCUGUUCGGG
This 698-nucleotide ribosomal RNA is filed under the name Achlya americana. RNAcentral describes it as "LSU rRNA". It matches the Rfam family "Eukaryotic large subunit ribosomal RNA", at positions 24 to 636 of the family's 3401-position model. Lineage: Eukaryota; Oomycota; Saprolegniomycetes; Saprolegniales; Achlyaceae. The record is from RNAcentral.